GAGUAUUUGGAUUUUACAAUAAAUCCAUAGACGGCUACAUGAAAAUCACGUUAGAUGUCGCUGAUGCCUCAAAUUCAUUCGACAAUUUGGCCAAAUUUGGCAUAAUUUGAGAAAACUAACCUAAAAGGGUCGCAUACGUUUUUACUUCUAAUAUUUUAAUUAAAUUUAUUGUUUGUUGUAUAACGUAUUAAUAAAGACGAAGUCACAGUUGUUAAUCAUAUUAGGGUCGAUUACUGAAUUAUUUUUUUCAGAUUGGAAAAUCAAAAGACAAUUAUUGAAGCAGUAAUAUGGAUUUGGAUUCCAACGUUGUGCCAACGCUCAAUUUCAACAAAAGAAACAAACUAUUCUUUUAUUUAUUUCUUAUCUGAUGUUAAGUAAACCAAUGUUGAGAUAUUAAAUAAAUGUCUUGAUACAAAUUGUA
Molecule: non-coding RNA, 421 nt
Organism: Onthophagus taurus
Lineage: Eukaryota; Metazoa; Arthropoda; Insecta; Coleoptera; Scarabaeidae
Source: RefSeq, a predicted model, not a curated record